This 336-nucleotide ribosomal RNA is filed under the name Triticum aestivum (bread wheat). RNAcentral's name for it is "partial small subunit ribosomal RNA". The record is from RNAcentral. Lineage: Eukaryota; Viridiplantae; Streptophyta; Magnoliopsida; Poales; Poaceae.
AUGGGCCAUAGGAGAGAGGGGAGGCAGCCCACAAGGGGUGGCCGCGCCCCCCUCCCAUGGGGAGUCCGAAUUGGACUAGGGGAGGGGCGCGCCCCCCUUUCCUUCUCCUCUUCCCUUUCCCUUCGCCUUCCCCCCUCCGUAAGAAAGGAAGGAGGGCUGAAUAGGACUUGGAGUCCUAUUCGGUUUCCCCGCAUGGCGCGCCCCCUUAGGCCGGCGGCCUCCUCCCCUCCUCCUUUAUAUACAGGGGCAGGGGGGCACCCCAAGGCACAACAGUUGUCUCUUAGCCGUGUGCGGUGCCCCCCUCCACAGUUUAUUCCUCGGGUCAUAGCAUCGUAG